GAAAAUAUUUUAAAAUCCAAAUGGUUAGUAAAACAAGAGUUGGUAGAGUCUGAUGAUGAUAGUUCUAGCAGUAGCCUUGAUGAUACUUUAGAGAAAUUAGGCGGCAUUACUUUGCAGGAAGCAUCUAAAGAAUAUGGAAUUAUGAAAACUCCUUCAAGAAAGAAAAGCUCCGUUGUUUCUAGAGAUCAUUGGUCAGCAUUGGCACUAGAUGAC
This 213-nucleotide unclassified non-coding RNA is filed under the name Hevea brasiliensis (rubber tree). Lineage: Eukaryota; Viridiplantae; Streptophyta; Magnoliopsida; Malpighiales; Euphorbiaceae. The record is from RNAcentral.